This 882-nucleotide ribosomal RNA is filed under the name Triticum aestivum (bread wheat). RNAcentral's name for it is "partial small subunit ribosomal RNA". The record is from RNAcentral. Lineage: Eukaryota; Viridiplantae; Streptophyta; Magnoliopsida; Poales; Poaceae.
AUGAGCAGGCGCUGGAGCAGGACGAUCUAUGUUGGCAACCUCCCUGGGGAUAUCCGGGAGAGGGAGGUGGAGGACCUCUUCUACAAGUAUGGCCGUAUUGUUGAUAUUGACCUGAAGGUUCCUCCAAGGCCGCCUGGCUAUGCUUUUGUUGAGUUUGAAGAUCCUCGUGACGCCGAAGAUGCCUGUGCUGGACGGGAUGGGUAUAACUUCGAUGGAAAUCGUCUAAGAGUGGAACCUGCUCAUGGUGGGAGAGGUAGUGGUGGCCCCUCUCAUGAUCGUUCUAGCAGCUUUGGUGGCGGCGGCGGCGGUGGCGGACGCCGGGGUGUCUCCAGGCACACGGAUUACCGUGUUCUGGUUACUGGCCUGCCUUCUUCUGCGUCCUGGCAAGAUUUAAAGGACCAUAUGCGAAGGGCUGGUGAUGUUUGUUUCGCAGAAGUGUAUCGUGAAGGCGGCGGCACCAUAGGAAUUGUGGACUACACAAACUAUGAUGAUAUGAAAUAUGCUAUAAAGAAACUGGAUGACACUGAAUUUAAGAAUGCAUUUUCUAAAGGUUAUAUAAGGGUGAAGGAAUAUGAUGGCAAACGUGGGCGCUCCUACUCACGUAGCCGGAGCCCAAGUCGUAGCCGCAGCAAAAGCAGGAGCCCAAGCAAAUCUCCCAGGGCCCGCUCAGCAUCUAGGUCCAGAUCAAGGUCUCUUUCUUCCCGUUCUCGUUCAGCAUCAAAAGGACGUUCUCCAUCAAGAUCACCAGCAAGAUCGAAAUCCCCAAUUGCUUCUCCGGCAAACGGUGUAGUGGCAAGUCCAGGGGCAAGCCCGAAGAAACGCAGUCCAAGCAGGAGUCCAUCUCGUUCACGGUCACCUGAUGUAAAUGCGAAAUCUGAAUAG